This 287-nucleotide long non-coding RNA is filed under the name Setaria viridis. RNAcentral describes it as "long non-coding RNA (SVIR_LNC001960)". The record is from RNAcentral. Lineage: Eukaryota; Viridiplantae; Streptophyta; Magnoliopsida; Poales; Poaceae.
GAUAGGUAGUGGAAAUGAGAAGAUAGAAAUAUGGAACAGAGAUCCACAUUGUUGAUGAGCUAUAUAAAGAGAUAAAAUCGGUCAAGGAUGGCACGUUCAAGUGUAAAGGUACAGUACAAAUAAAUGAGGGACAUAAUUGAUUGCAAUGACGAAAAUGAAUUUUCUUAAAGGACGAAAAACAUACUAGCAUAAAACAGACAUAAUUUGUCUUUGGUAGUUUGGCUUACUAAGAUGUCCUAAGAGAUAUAGUAUGUAUAGGUUAGAGAUAGAGGCCAUGAUGAAUCUCA